RNAcentral lists this unclassified non-coding RNA (339 nucleotides) under soil metagenome. Its description in RNAcentral is "partial contains 5.8S ribosomal RNA, internal transcribed spacer 2, and large subunit ribosomal RNA". The stretch from base 3 to 119 matches the Rfam family "5.8S ribosomal RNA", at positions 38 to 154 of the family's 154-position model. The record is from RNAcentral.
GAGAAGAACGUAGCGAAAUGCGAUAAGUAAUGCGAAUUGCAGAAUUCCGUGAGUCAUCGAAUCUUUGAACGCACAUUGCGCCCUCUGGUAUUCCGGAGGGCAUGCCUGUCUGAGCGUCAUUGUCAACCCUCAAGCUCAGCUUGCUGUUGGGUCCCCGUCGUUGCUUUAACGGCGGACCCGAAAGGUAAUGGCAGAGUCCGUGAGACCCUAGACGCAGCGAGCUUCUAGCACGCGUCUGGACGUUUUUCGGGCUCGGUCUUAAACUAGAUGAUAACUUCCGAUUGACCUCAGAUCAGGUAGGGAUACCCGCUGAACUUAAGCAUAUCAAUAAGCGGAGGA